RNA transcript from Papaver somniferum (opium poppy), 976 nucleotides. RefSeq lists it as uncharacterized. The record is from RefSeq and is a predicted model, not a curated record. Lineage: Eukaryota; Viridiplantae; Streptophyta; Magnoliopsida; Ranunculales; Papaveraceae. The transcript is spliced from 2 exons.
CCUGGUUUCAACGAGAUUCGCUUUUUCAAACAGUUUUGGUAAAGAAAAUAUUAACCACUUGUCAAAAAACUAAUAACUAGUUUCUGUCGUCAUGUUUUUUUUCUUCUCUCCUAAAAACUCCGUGAAGCAAAGUUAUAGAACCCUGCGAUCUUAAUAAAUCCGGCUAAAACCUAAUCGAUUGUUGAAGAAGUUGAAGAAGAUUACUCUUGAUGAAUCUCCCAACAGGAAACAAAAUAAAGCUCAACCCUCGAAGUAAGUAAUUCUAUACUUAUGAUUGAUUUUGUUUUCUGAUUUCUAAUCAAGUGAUGUUGAAAGAAUCGAAAAAGGGUGACUAACAUUGAAGUUAAUUGGAGGAUCAUCUCUUAUCAUAGCUAAGAAGAGGGUUUGUUGUUACCUAAUAAUUAGAAUUUUUGUUUCUUUCAGAAAUUGGAAUCUUUGAUUUUUAUGUUUAUAAGAAAUUUGUGAUAUUGCAUGAAUGAAUUUCAACCUCAAAUUCCCAACACCCUGAGUGAAAACUCAAAGAAAGAUGAGCUACAGAGAAGCAGAGGAGGAGAAAUGGAAUGAAAACCCCGUAGAAGAGAAUUCAGGGCUUAUCUUGUAGGAUUAGAAGACACUACAAUGGAAGAGAGCGCAACAGCAUUCUGGGAUCGUGUUCUUCACUAUUUUGUCAACUCAAAUGGUAAUUAUCAAGGAAGAGCGCCAGAAUGUCUAGCAGAAAGGUUCGGGGGCAUACGUGAUUGUUGUUUACGAUAUAAAAAAAUAUUGAGGGGCUUGAAUAUGGAUCAAGAAGCUGCAAUUCUUGCAUAUGCUGCAUCUGUAGGGCGCGAAUUCAAAUUCAUGGAGGCUUAUGAAAUUAUCAAAGGAGAUGUUUUAAGUUUGUAUUAAACUUGCAUUAAGCAUUAAGGAACUAAAGUUUUCGUUUGAUUAUGAUUAUGAGAAACUGAAUUCCAGUUGGGUAACUAAAAAAAUUUCCUGU